Molecule: long non-coding RNA, 1740 nt
Filed under: Phasianus colchicus (ring-necked pheasant)
Lineage: Eukaryota; Metazoa; Chordata; Aves; Galliformes; Phasianidae
Description: lncRNA (ENSPCLG00000010290.1)
Source: RNAcentral
GGUAUCUAAACACUAAGCCCAUGUACAUUAGAGUGAAAAAUAAUGAAGGAACAAGAAAUGGCCUCUGUGAUUAUUCAUCAUCUGCUGAGCAAUCCAGAGCGAAAACAGGCAAACAAACACUCUGGAGGAAGGGGCUGGGAGAGCUGAAUGUGAACACUUCAGAGCUACUUACAGCACGAAGCAGGAGCAGCUCUUCAGAAAUGCUGCGCACGCAGAGCGGGCCCACUGUGCACACAAACAAAUUAAUCAGAAGGAAACGGCAGAAAACUCCCUCCGAAUUAAUGAAGCAAUUUAACAUGGAGACUACGGAAGAAAGACAAGAGCUCCCGUUGUAUUUCUGUAAUGUCAGGUCUGUAAUGUGUGUUCCCUGUGCUGACAGUUAAAGGGCAACUCACGGCGACAUGGGAAGAUUGCCUUUGGGGACACGUUCCCCCUUCUGCAGGGCAGCAGCUCACUGCUGUGAUUAAAGCAGCCCAGGCCGUGCAGAGAGGCACAGCUCUGCAAUGGUGAGGAAAUGGACCACAGGACUUAAAAUACCUAAUGGGACCUCAAGUAUUUAAAGCCCUUCAGGAUUCCCAGCAUAUAAAGCUCCGCUGAUUUCAGCUGGUGAGAAUCACCAGGUCAGAAAAAUUGGUUUUCUCACCGGAGCUGAGCUCCAGGGUAAGAAUGGGGCAUCGUGCUGCAGAAUUACUGCCUUUUUUGUACUAACAUGAUGUAUAUUUUCGUAUGUACUCUACAAUAUUGCUAGGGUAUUUUAAUGACAAAUAGGGAAAUCCUUGUUUUUAAACGCAUGAUGUGAAGCCAUCUAGCUUGAAUGUUUACAUGCUACUUGAAAUGAGCCCCAGCAUGCUGCACCAGGGCUGGCAUCGCAGGGAGCAGCAGCAGGGCUCUGCAUACCACAAGGAUUUACAUACAUGGAGAAAAGCCAAAAAAAUAAUCCCGACUGAACAGCACUCCUGACGCUCAUAUUUAAACAACUGAUUGCCAGGGAAUGUAUUUUUCCUCUCCCUUUUCCUGUGCUUUUCGUGAUUGUUUGUUAAAUAUAUUAAGACCCGCUCUUUGCCUCAUGCUGUUGCUGAGACCUUCUGCACCUCGUUGCCUUUUGCAGUUCUCCAAAUGAAUCACAGCACGUUUGCAACAGGUCUUACUGAAGUGAUAGAAGUUACAUGCAGAAGACAUGACCUCCACGUGUGUUGAAAUGAUGUCACACGUGGGGUGAGCUGCUCAGCAGCACGCUGGGAUGGCCAAUGGCAGAAGUGACUGCAGUGCUGACAGAGGCAGAGCUGCCCUGGCUGUUACACACAGGAUGUGCACGUUUUCAGAUAUAGGCCAUAGAUCCACUCCAGAUCUGAAGCAAAAAGGAUCUGAGGCAGAAUUAGGCCUUCUGAGCUCCACUAAGGCUCAGGCAGAGCAUUACGAUCUCCACACUCAUCACACGAGCUAAUAUCAUUUCAUUGCUGCAAAUUCAUUCCAAAUUAACAGCGGUGCAAAGGAGCAAAGAUUCCAGUGAGGUGGGCUUGCACCAAUCAAGCAUUUGGAAUGACAACCUGCCUGUCUCUUGUCAGUACACAUACUUAACACCCAACACUAACGCUUCAUUUGGGUAUGACAGUGAAAUGGCCAGAGAUUGGGGAGUGAAAGGAGAAAGGCCUGUUCAAUUAAACCACCCUUAGUAUUUAAUGCAGAUAACGUGAUCUAAACUGUAGCCAAAUGAAUAAAAUAAACCAGCCCAUUGCUUCA